UACGUAGGGGGCAAGCGUUGUCCGGAUUUAUUGGGCGUAAAGAGCGUGUAGGCGGCUAGAUAGGUCCGUUGUGAAAACUCGAGGCUCAACCUCGAGACGCCGGUGGAAACCAUCUAGCUAGAGUCCGGAAGAGGAGAGUGGAAUUCCUGGUGUAGCGGUGAAAUGCGCAGAUAUCAGGAGGAACACCGGUGGCGAAGGCGGGUCUCUGGGCCGAAAUUGACGCUGAGGAGCGAAAGCGUGGGGAGCAAACAGG
RNAcentral lists this ribosomal RNA (253 nucleotides) under uncultured bacterium. RNAcentral describes it as "partial 16S ribosomal RNA". It matches the Rfam family "Bacterial small subunit ribosomal RNA", at positions 524 to 776 of the family's 1533-position model. The record is from RNAcentral.